This 116-nucleotide ribosomal RNA is filed under the name Serratia marcescens. The record is from RNAcentral. Lineage: Bacteria; Pseudomonadati; Pseudomonadota; Gammaproteobacteria; Enterobacterales; Yersiniaceae. RNAcentral also lists the same sequence under 12 other names.
CCUGGCGGCAAUAGCGCGGUGGUCCCACCUGACCCCAUGCCGAACUCAGAAGUGAAACGCCGUAGCGCCGAUGGUAGUGUGGGGCCUCCCCAUGCGAGAGUAGGACACUGCCAGGC